AACGUCUUGCUCCCUGAGAGGUGAUGGGUAUGCUAGGGAUGCUCGCUCAGGGAACGUGGGCCAAGUCCUCUGAACACGAAGCUCGCAGAGGGGGUGAUUCCUGUGAAUUCUGAAAGGACUUGGGGGCGUCCAGCAAGAGCAGGAGCUUAGAUGGUGGUUCCAGGGCUGGUGUUGCUGACUGGGACGAGUGGACCCCCAGGGUGGGCAUGGAGUGGGGCACUGGCUGGGAGCCUCUGCCUUGCUGUGUCCUGGCUGAAUGAACCCAGGACUUGCUGUGCUCAGAUCCUCCAUUCAAGAGAGCUACAGACACGGGGGUGCUGGUGAGCAGGAGCCGAGACCAUCUGGGGUGGGACCGACCAAGAGUUUGAGGUGUCCAGGGGGUGACGUGAAGAUGACCUAUUGCAGAGGGUCCCUUCUCAUUCACGCUCUGAAGUCUGCACAGGGGCAGGGGCUACCGUGCUCCAUUUCAGUUUGGCCUCUGUUGUAUCAGCCAGAGGCCAGCAGAACUCUAUGGUCACUCCCCCGUGUCACGGACAAUUUGCCACCUCCACCGGCAGCCCAGGGCUCUGCCUG
This 573-nucleotide long non-coding RNA is filed under the name Homo sapiens (human). Its description in RNAcentral is "non-protein coding lnc-TPCN2-5:2". Lineage: Eukaryota; Metazoa; Chordata; Mammalia; Primates; Hominidae. The record is from RNAcentral.